UUCUGUCCAGUACGCGAUUGUGCAUCUCGACUUCUUCAUGUAUAUCACCCGUCAAUCUCUUAAGAAUGUUCACUCUAUCUUGCAGCCCAUCAAUAGCUCUAUCAUUUUCAUGCUCAUCAAUUUCAUGAGAGGAAUAGUCUCGGAUGCCACCCUCCACAAGGCCAUCAAAAGAGCAGCUCUGUUGCUUCGAUAAUCUAUAAUCUCUAGCAAAUAAUCAAAAUCACCAUGAAAAGAAAGAUAUUGCUUAUGUGAAAGUAGAGUAAACGAAAUAUACAAUUCCAUCUCAGGAACAAAAUUUUUUAGCUGAGUAGAAAUACAUCGGAUCAUGUCUGCAAAGAGUCUGGAAACCUGUAUAUCACCAAUACUUUGACAGCAAAUUCAUCUAAAUACAGAUAAAAUUGCAAUUUUGAUUUUCAAGGAAUUCAGAUGAAUUAUACUGAUUACAUAUUGUCCCACUGAACCUUAAUGAUUGUAAAUGUUAAUUUGCCCAUAUAUUUUAGUUAGUACAGAUCAAAUUUAAAGCAAUUAGAUCAAUUUUAUAACCUCUAUAUUAAAAAAAAAAGUCCAAGUAUUUAAUUGACACUGUGUUUCAUUAAUAUCUACAUGCAUAUACACACAUUCAGGUAGAGAAAGAUAUAGAUAUCACUUUGUGACCCCCCCUUUUCCUUUCAUUCCCUACUUCUGCCACAAAUGAUCAUUGAAAUCGUAUUGAACUAAAAAAAAAAAAACUACAACAGGGAUGUCAAGCAUCAAAAAUAUGAUUAUGGUUUCUACAGUUUGGCUAUUUUGGUGGUUUUGGCUCCAUUUUUAGCAAUUUUGGUAAAAAAAAAUUAAAGAUCGACUAAAUCAGGAGAAAUAAAGAGGUUAAAAAAAAAGUUAGAGCUCAUUAUAAAGAAUUGUUUCAGACUUUCAGCUGUAUCAUUUUGGUGUUUUUGCAUUGAGACAGUGAAAAAGUAUCUUUUAAAAUUGUUAUAAAUAGCAUAUUUAUAUCACAAUAUAUAUGGACUAUCUAAAUGCAUAUGGAUGCAAUGCAAAAAGCUUUACCUUCUCCUAAAUCUUGCUAAAAUUUAAGGUAGCAGUAUUCCCAGAAUUUCCCAAAACCCACAAUAUAUCAGUUUACUUCACAACUUCAAAGUAAAAAUGCUUCCAAAAAAUUGAAAGAUAUGAAGAAAUGACAAAAAAUUGCCACAGAUAACUCACAUAUAAUGAAUGUGGCCCCACAAGUUAAUUGGUUCAAAACUCCAAGUGUAGCCAUGAUUUGAAUUUAUUCAGGGAUCAGAACAAAAUCAAAAUGUUUUCAUUUCAUUGUGGAGUUCCAACCAAAACUUUGAACCAUAAUGGAAAUAUGUAUGAUAUUCUACUAUUCCAAUACAGAAACAGGCAUGAUACCAAUACCUUAACCUUAUCUAUACCUUAAUGAAAGCUUCCAACAUUAUUUUUUUUAUUUUUCUAACUCACCACAUGCAACAUCCAACUUUGUUGCCCGCAUCAGGUUAGUCCAUUUGUCUUCAAAUUACAAAAUUUGGUGGUAUAAGAACCCAGAAGUUUAAAAUAGAGUUCUUUUACAAAAUCAAUAAGAGGGAAAAAAGAAGAAUAAAUGUUUAAAAGACUUUCACUGAGCAGAAAACUUAGCAAUUUAGCACUACUAUAAUUCAGAUUACAUAUUUAAAAUAUUUCACAAAAUAAAUCAAAUCAUCUAUAAAUAAUUAAAUAUCAAUAACUAGAAAAGACAUAGAAAUCUUGAUGUGUGAAUCCAAAAUCUCAACAAGGUCAAUGACUACCAAAUCCCGAUAAUUGCAAUUUGCAUUUGCGCAUUCGUGCACGCAUGCGAGAGAAAGAGAAAGAGAAAGAGAGAGAGAGAGAGAGAUUGGAGAUGAACCUUCGUGAAUUCAUGAACCCACUAGAUUCAGACCACAGAAAAUUUUGUUCCUUUUUUCCUCUCCUUUUCUCCUUUAAAAUUUUCUUAUAUUUUUGUCAUC
Molecule: long non-coding RNA, 1979 nt
Filed under: Phoenix dactylifera (date palm)
Lineage: Eukaryota; Viridiplantae; Streptophyta; Magnoliopsida; Arecales; Arecaceae
Description: long non-coding RNA (PDAC_LNC002505)
Source: RNAcentral